RNAcentral lists this ribosomal RNA (526 nucleotides) under unidentified nematode Sourhope farm. RNAcentral's name for it is "SSU rRNA". It matches the Rfam family "Eukaryotic small subunit ribosomal RNA", at positions 75 to 598 of the family's 1831-position model. Lineage: Eukaryota; Metazoa; Nematoda. The record is from RNAcentral.
UUAAUCGUGAAACCGCGAAUGGCUCAUUAUAACAGCUAUAAUUUACUUGAUCUUGACACAAUCCUACUUGGAUAACUGUGGUAAUUCUAGAGCUAAUACAUGCAUUAAAGCUCUGACCUCACGGGAAGAGUGCAUUUAUUAGAACAAAACCAAGCGGCUUCGGCUGUUUCUGGUUGACUCAUAGUAACUGAGCUGAUCGCAUGGUCUUGCACCGGCGACGUGUCUUUCAAGUAUCUGCCGUAUCAACUUUCGAUGGUAGUGUAUCUGACUACCAUGGUGAUCACGCGUAACGGAGAAUAAGGGUUCGGCUCCGGAGAGUUCGCCUGAGAAAUCGCGAACACAUCUAAGGAAGGCAGCAGGCGCGAAAAUUACCCACUCUCAGCACGAGGAGGUAGUGACGAAAAAUAACGAGACCGUUCUCUUAUGAGGCCGGUCAUCGGAAUGGGUACAAUUUAAACCCUUUAACGAGUAUCUAUGAGAGGGCAAGUCUGGUGCCAGCAGCCGCGGUAAUUCCAGCUCUCAAAGU